This 1397-nucleotide ribosomal RNA is filed under the name Lactiplantibacillus plantarum. Its description in RNAcentral is "bacterial SSU rRNA". It matches the Rfam family "Bacterial small subunit ribosomal RNA", at positions 64 to 1427 of the family's 1533-position model. Lineage: Bacteria; Bacillati; Bacillota; Bacilli; Lactobacillales; Lactobacillaceae. The record is from RNAcentral.
GAACGAACUCUGGUAUUGAUUGGUGCUUGCAUCAUGAUUUACAUUUGAGUGAGUGGCGAACUGGUGAGUAACACGUGGGAAACCUGCCCAGAAGCGGGGGAUAACACCUGGAAACAGAUGCUAAUACCGCAUAACAACUUGGACCGCAUGGUCCGAGCUUGAAAGAUGGCUUCGGCUAUCACUUUUGGAUGGUCCCGCGGCGUAUUAGCUAGAUGGUGGGGUAACGGCUCACCAUGGCAAUGAUACGUAGCCGACCUGAGAGGGUAAUCGGCCACAUUGGGACUGAGACACGGCCCAAACUCCUACGGGAGGCAGCAGUAGGGAAUCUUCCACAAUGGACGAAAGUCUGAUGGAGCAACGCCGCGUGAGUGAAGAAGGGUUUCGGCUCGUAAAACUCUGUUGUUAAAGAAGAACAUAUCUGAGAGUAACUGUUCAGGUAUUGACGGUAUUUAACCAGAAAGCCACGGCUAACUACGUGCCAGCAGCCGCGGUAAUACGUAGGUGGCAAGCGUUGUCCGGAUUUAUUGGGCGUAAAGCGAGCGCAGGCGGUUUUUUAAGUCUGAUGUGAAAGCCUUCGGCUCAACCGAAGAAGUGCAUCGGAAACUGGGAAACUUGAGUGCAGAAGAGGACAGUGGAACUCCAUGUGUAGCGGUGAAAUGCGUAGAUAUAUGGAAGAACACCAGUGGCGAAGGCGGCUGUCUGGUCUGUAACUGACGCUGAGGCUCGAAAGUAUGGGUAGCAAACAGGAUUAGAUACCCUGGUAGUCCAUACCGUAAACGAUGAAUGCUAAGUGUUGGAGGGUUUCCGCCCUUCAGUGCUGCAGCUAACGCAUUAAGCAUUCCGCCUGGGGAGUACGGCCGCAAGGCUGAAACUCAAAGGAAUUGACGGGGGCCCGCACAAGCGGUGGAGCAUGUGGUUUAAUUCGAAGCUACGCGAAGAACCUUACCAGGUCUUGACAUACUAUGCAAAUCUAAGAGAUUAGACGUUCCCUUCGGGGACAUGGAUACAGGUGGUGCAUGGUUGUCGUCAGCUCGUGUCGUGAGAUGUUGGGUUAAGUCCCGCAACGAGCGCAACCCUUAUUAUCAGUUGCCAGCAUUAAGUUGGGCACUCUGGUGAGACUGCCGGUGACAAACCGGAGGAAGGUGGGGAUGACGUCAAAUCAUCAUGCCCCUUAUGACCUGGGCUACACACGUGCUACAAUGGAUGGUACAACGAGUUGCGAACUCGCGAGAGUAAGCUAAUCUCUUAAAGCCAUUCUCAGUUCGGAUUGUAGGCUGCAACUCGCCUACAUGAAGUCGGAAUCGCUAGUAAUCGCGGAUCAGCAUGCCGCGGUGAAUACGUUCCCGGGCCUUGUACACACCGCCCGUCACACCAUGAGAGUUUGUAACACCCAAAGU